RNAcentral lists this long non-coding RNA (2821 nucleotides) under Lepisosteus oculatus (spotted gar). RNAcentral describes it as "lncRNA (ENSLOCG00000022985.1)". The record is from RNAcentral. Lineage: Eukaryota; Metazoa; Chordata; Actinopteri; Semionotiformes; Lepisosteidae.
CAAGCACCUGUCUCUCCUCUACUUCCGACUUUUACGUUUGGAAAACAAGUUUGGAUUUUGUAGGACUUGAGCGCCUUUAUACGACAGCUGUGUUAAGGGUUUCCCCUUGAACUUAACGCUAAAUGCAGGGGACGGUAAGCGGAGGCACGAAAAGCAGCACUUUAUAUAUUCCUAGCACGGGUUUUGCCUUCGACGGAGUUCAUGAUGAACAAAUUGCGUCGGAAUGAGAACACCGAAAGAGAAGAGUUGAGAUUGAAAAAAGAUAAAACAAAACUUCCGAUCUUUUCAAUGUGCGAUAACGAGGAAACUGUCCUAGCAGGCCCGGAAAUUACAGAGCAAAAAUUUGAGGAUGUCUUGUCUAACUGGGUAACUGAAAUAAACGGAAUUCAGAAGCACAGUGGACAGGCCCCUCUGUUUACUGAGAACAUGCUUUCACCAAUAAAGGAUGAGCAGCUGUCAGGUCAGCCCUUGCCUAAGAGCCUGAAGCCAUUGAAAGCAAGGACAACUUCACCUGAAGGCCAGCUUUUCUACAGACCAGAGAGAUCACAUAGAUACCUCCAGGCCACAGUGUUUGAAUCAGAUGCUCAUGGGCGGACUGAGAGACCACAGAGUGCUCUUCCAGCCCUCCAUCUGGGAAGGCCCACUAGGUCCAGCCUUUUAAGGACAAGAUACCUUUCUCCAUCAGUAUCCAAAGAUUUCCAUCAAAAAGACAAAACAACCCCAUCUCCAAAGAAGUGCUCUUCCAGUAGACUACCUCUGAAUCUGAAGGAGCUGCAGCGUGCGUGCACCUCUGUGGGAGAGGAUGUCCAUUCUUUUCUGAUUGGAGCGCGGUAUAAUAGAGAAAGAUACAUGGACUCUGUUGCUGUUGAAAAGUAUGGUGUAUACCUCUCUCGGAGUUAUCCAAACUGUGCUUUUCUAACCCAAAGUGAAACGCCCAAAAAACAUGACAAAGCACAUGCCCUGAGGAGCCACAGAGCAAAGAUGUGUCAGGGCAACAGAGAAGAAGGCAGGGGCAUUACUGCCGAGCACACAAACAGCCACCAGGGGGCAGUCAAGAGUGCCUGGGGUACUGUGCCAGCAAAAGCCAUCAAACACACAAAAAGGAAAGAGCAACAGAAUGACACAAUGAGAACAGCAAAAGAGCAACAUAACACUGGCCAAGUGAAGGGGAGAUCCGAUGAUCUCAAAGGACAUUGCAGAGAUGGUAUUACACCACUUUCUGCUCAGAAAUGGAAAGAUACAAUGUUCAGUCACAAGGCUGCGGACAGGAGUGACGGAGAAAUCAAAUCCACAUCCCCUCCCCAAAGCCAGAAUAGUAACUCUUCGGGUUUGCUGGUCAAAGCCAUCAAGCCUUCAAAAUCGCAUUUGAGGAGUUCAGUGGCAGAAAGCCAAGGAGCAGUCUGUAAGAUUUAAAUUGCAGCAUCAUUCAACAGCAAAUAAACUACAUGCAGCAUCAGGAAGGACAAGGGGCAGAUAUCACUAAAGUAUGUUUUAUUAAAUGCUAAUCUGUUAAAACAAGCAUCUCAGUCCAAGCAGAUAUCUGCUUCGUUUCUUUUCAUCUUUGCUUUCCAUUUCAUACUGUAAGUCUCCCUGUUUUUUAUGUAUCUGCUUAUAGGGAAGAUAGGCCAAUCAUUAAAAAAGCAGUGCUUCUUUUUCGGCACGUACUGUAGUACACGAUCGGAAAUACCAACAAAUACCACACGUGUUCAGAGUCCACGGCCUCAGACGCAUGAACCCAGGUGCUGAAGUACUUUCCUUUAAGAGUACCAGAGACAUCCAGAGGCCAUCCCCCCCCUUAAACCUUAAAAUUGCAUUUAUAGUCCUUCCAAGAUGAAGUAUUCCUAAAAAUAUUUGGAAAAAAAAUGUUUUAGUAUGUAAACUGUGUCUUAGAAUAGAUGUGGAAUGUGUACAGUAGGUAAGUUAAAAAUAAGAAAAUAGGCAGAUCAAUGUCACAAGAACAUUUUGUGACUUUUCAGUCCUUUAGAAUCAUGCAAAGAGCUACAGAUAGAAAUGUAAUAGUAGUUCAGGUGGGGAGCUGCGUCGGCAUGCGCAGGCCGCAAGGGAUCAAGGAAAGGUUUAUUCAAUGCUUAAAAGAGAGGGAGAGAAACACAACGUUUCGGCUGUGGAGCCUUCUUGGGGUGAAGAAAAGAGCUGAAGAAAGCUCCACGGCUGAAACGUGUUUCCUUUCUUCUCUUUUAGGCAUGGAAUAAACCUUUACUUGUUCCCUAGAAAUGUAAUGCAGUAUGUCAAAGUUAGUUGCUUUUCAGUAAAGCUGAACCAAACCGAGUCACCAUAUGUCUUUGCUGACUUCUAAGAGAAGUAACAUUGAUCUUAUCUAACUACCGAUUGUCUGUAGUAGAGGUGUUAACUUUUUCACACAAGCAUGACACCAAGAGUGCAAAUGUACUUUAAUUAGUGCAAUAAUAAAGGGGCGUUGUUCAAUACACAACUUCAGUUUUUCCAAUGCAAAUUAUAUCUGUUUCCUUUCGAUGCAAGUUACACGUUUUUAUUGUAGAUCUAUUUUUCUGAACUUGCGGUAAAAAGCAACAGAUCUGAAAAACAUCUCAUGUAAGUUGUUUUAGCGAAAUGGAACAAGUCCACAAACCUUGAAGAUAUCCCUCUAAUAUCAGAGGCACUUGCAGAAAUCACAAGAUUAAGAGGUUUCCAUUUUCUGGUACACUCUUUAAUUGUUAAUCACUAUGAUAAAUAUCUGUGGUUCCCCAUGAGAAAGUAAAGAACAUUUUUUUUUCUUUGCUGGAGGUCUUUCAUCAGGACAUCAUUGAAAAGAAAUAGAAAGAACUUUCAGUACCAUACACUUCAG